Molecule: unclassified non-coding RNA, 343 nt
Filed under: soil metagenome
Description: partial contains 5.8S ribosomal RNA, internal transcribed spacer 2, and large subunit ribosomal RNA
Rfam family: 5.8S ribosomal RNA (bases 1-120)
Source: RNAcentral
GAUGAAGAACGUAGCGAAAUGCGAUAAGUAAUGUGAAUUGCAGAAUUCAGUGAAUCAUCGAAUCUUUGAACGCACAUUGCGCCCGCCAGCAUUCUGGCGGGCAUGCCUGUUCGAGCGUCAUUUCAACCCUCGAGCCCCCCCGGGGGCCUCGGUGUUGGGGGGCGGCACACCAGCCGCCCCCGAAAUGCAGUGGCGACCCCGCCGCAGCCUCCCCUGCGUAGUAGCACACACCUCGCACCGGAGCGCGGAGGCGGUCACGCCGUAAAACGCCCAACUUUCUUAGAGUUGACCUCGGAUCAGGUAGGAAUACCCGCUGAACUUAAGCAUAUCAAUAAGCGGAGGA